UACGUAGGGUGCGAGCGUUGUCCGGAAUUAUUGGGCGUAAAGGGCUCGUAGGCGGUUUGUCACGUCGGGAGUGAAAACUCGGGGCUUAACCCCGAGCCUGCAGUGGAUACGGGCAGACUAGAGGUAGGUAGGGGAGAAUGGAAUUCCCGGUGUAGCGGUGAAAUGCGCAGAUAUCGGGAGGAACACCGGUGGCGAAGGCGGUUCUCUGGGCCUUACCUGACGCUGAGGAGCGAAAGCGUGGGGAGCGAACAGG
This 253-nucleotide ribosomal RNA is filed under the name uncultured bacterium. RNAcentral's name for it is "partial 16S ribosomal RNA". It matches the Rfam family "Bacterial small subunit ribosomal RNA", at positions 524 to 776 of the family's 1533-position model. The record is from RNAcentral.